RNAcentral lists this ribosomal RNA (522 nucleotides) under uncultured bacterium. RNAcentral's name for it is "bacterial SSU rRNA". It matches the Rfam family "Bacterial small subunit ribosomal RNA", at positions 355 to 896 of the family's 1533-position model. The record is from RNAcentral.
UGGGGAAUAUUGGACAAUGGACCGAGAGUCUGAUCCAGCAAUUCUGUGUGCACGAUGAAGUUUUUCGGAAUGUAAAGUGCUUUCAGUUGGGAAGAAACAAAUGACGGUACCAACAGAAGAAGUGACGGCUAAAUACGUGCCAGCAGCCGCGGUAAUACGUAUGUCACGAGCGUUAUCCGGAUUUAUUGGGCGUAAAGCGCGUCUAGGUGGUUAUAUAAGUCUGAUGUGAAAAUGCAGGGCUCAACUCUGUAUUGCGUUGGAAACUGUAUAACUAGAGUACUGGAGAGGUAAGCGGAACUACAAGUGUAGAGGUGAAAUUCGUAGAUAUUUGUAGGAAUGCCGAUGGGGAAGCCAGCUUACUGGACAGAUACUGACGCUGAAGCGCGAAAGCGUGGGUAGCAAACAGGAUUAGAUACCCUGGUAGUCCACGCCGUAACGAUGAUUACUAGGUGUUGGGGGUCGAACCUCAGCGCCCAAGCAAACGCGAUAAGUAAUCCGCCUGGGGAGUACGUACGCAGUAUG